AGGAAUAUUGGUCAAUGGGCGUAAGCCUGAACCAGCCAAGUCGCGUGAGGGAGGACGGCCCUACGGGUUGUAAACCUCUUUUGCCGGGGGACAAACGGCGGCACGCGUGCCGUCCUGAGGGUACCCGGAGAAAAAGCAUCGGCUACCUCCGUGCCAGCAGCCGCGGUAAUACGGAGGAUGCGAGCGUUAUCCGGAUUUAUUGGGUUUAAAGGGUGCGUAGGCGGGAUGCCAAGUCAGCGGUCAAAUACGGGGGCUCAACCUGCGUCCGCCGUUGAAACUGGCGUUCUUGAGUGGGCGAGAAGUACGCGGAAUGCGUGGUGUAGCGGUGAAAUGCAUAGAUAUCACGAAGAACUCCGAUUGCGAAGGCAGCUCACUGGACUGUUAACUGACACUGAGGCUCGAAAGUGUGGGUAUCAAACAG
This 421-nucleotide ribosomal RNA is filed under the name uncultured bacterium. RNAcentral describes it as "bacterial SSU rRNA". It matches the Rfam family "Bacterial small subunit ribosomal RNA", at positions 357 to 775 of the family's 1533-position model. The record is from RNAcentral.